AUGGGGCUUCGGCCCUGAGUAAAGUGGCGCACGGGUGAGUAACGCGUGGAUAAUCUGCCCUGUGAUCUGGGAUAACACUUCGAAAGGGGUGCUAAUACCGGAUAAGACCACGGAGUCUUAUGACUCUGCGGUAAAAGGUGGGGACCUUCGGGCCUACCGUCGUCGGAUGAGUCCGCGUACCAUUAGCUAGUUGGUAGGGUAAGAGCCUACCAAGGCAACGAUGGUUAGCUGGUCUGAAAGGAUGAUCACCCACACUGGAACUGAGACACGGUCCACACUCCUACGGGAGGCAGCAGUGGGGAAUUUUGCGCAAUGGGGGAAACCCUGACGCACCAACGCCGCGUGAGUGAUGAAGGCCUUCGGGUCGUAAAGCUCUGUCAGAAGGGAAAAAGUGUGCGGGUGCUAAUAUCAUCUGCGCUUGACGGUACCCUCAAAGGAAGCACCGGCUAACUCCGUGCCAGCAGCCGGGGG
This 471-nucleotide ribosomal RNA is filed under the name uncultured Desulfuromonas sp. RNAcentral describes it as "bacterial SSU rRNA". It matches the Rfam family "Bacterial small subunit ribosomal RNA", at positions 72 to 521 of the family's 1533-position model. The record is from RNAcentral. Lineage: Bacteria; Pseudomonadati; Thermodesulfobacteriota; Desulfuromonadia; Desulfuromonadales; Desulfuromonadaceae.